This is a long non-coding RNA of Osmerus eperlanus (European smelt), 1503 nucleotides long. RefSeq lists it as uncharacterized. The record is from RefSeq and is a predicted model, not a curated record. Lineage: Eukaryota; Metazoa; Chordata; Actinopteri; Osmeriformes; Osmeridae. The transcript is spliced from 2 exons.
ACAUUUAGGUCAGUCUUGAGGAAAUGGCAGCUGGUUCCUCCGACACUUGCAUAACUGCAAGAGGGCUUCUGGAGAGGUUUCAGAAGGGGCAGAUUUUGUUUAGCCUUGUUAUGGCCCUUGAAGUUCUUAAAGAACUUGAAUGUCUCAACCGCUCCCUUCAGAGCAAGACAGUGAGUGUCUCAGGGAUGCUGGCUGCGGUUGAUUGUGUGAAAAACACAAUUCGAGUAAAGAGAUCUGAUGAAACAUUUCAUCAUAUAUAUACCAGAGCGUGUGAUAUGAUCCAGGAGUUGGACAUUGAGGCUAUCCAGACUCCUCGCAUCCGGAGACCCCCAAAGCGCUUUGCAGGAAAUGCACCUGCAUUUAGACCUACUUCCCCUGAGAAGUUCUACAGAAUAGAAUUCUUCAAAAUGGUGGAUGCAGUUGAGGUCCAGUUGACGAAGCGCUUUGACCAGAGCAGCUUCCGUACACUAAAUGAACUGGAAAAGGUUUUAAUCACUGGAAAGGUGGAGGAUGUUGUCAGUUCUUACCCAGAACUAGACCGGUAUUCAUUAGAGGUACAGCUGGCAAUGGUUAAACUACAGUAUCCCUGCAACACAGUAAGUGAAGUAGUAGAUACCCUGAGAGCUAUGCUGCCAGAGGUCUGUGGUUUAUUCACACAAGUAGAAGUGUUAGUUAGGCUUCUUCUUGUUGUGCCAUGCUCCUCAGCAGAAGCAGAAAGAAGUUUUAGUGCCUUGAGAAGGCUUAAGACGUGGCUCCGCUCUUCCAUGACUCAACAGCGUUUGAACAAUGUGGCUGUUUGCCACAUCCACCAAGAAAAACUUGAUCAAGUUGACAUACGGGAGAUUUGCCAGUCUUUUGUGUCUGCAAAUGACAAAAGAGGUGCCACUUUCAGAGCCUUUGUAUGAUCUCAGCUAAAUACUUUUGUUCUAAUUAUAAAAAUCCAGCUGUAAGCAUAAUACAGAGAAUAGGGUGUGGUAGAAGAUAUGUAAACAGAAAAACACUCACACAAACACCAUCUUUUCACUGUGUGCCUCUCUAUAUCUCUCUAACACAAACACUAUGCUCUAUCACACUCUCUAACACAUACACACACACUAUGUUCUCCCUACCUCUCUCAAACACACACACUAUGCUCUCUCUAUCUCACUCUCAAAAACACACACACAUUAUGUUCUCCCUACCUCUCCCUCAGACACACACACACAGGCACACCAUCCUCUCUCAUGUGGUUGAAAAUGGUUGGACAAAAAACUCAUCAAUAAAUGUAUAAUGUGUAAAUCCUCCUUUUAAGUCUUUUGCUCUCAUUAAAUGGAGAAUAAAGUGCCAAAGCUGUCAGUGUCAGUCCUCUGUGUAUUACACCAAAACAUUAUCCUGGCUAUCACCAGACCAAGCUCAAUCUUAUUUAAGAUUGCAGAUCGAAUGGGUUUACCCAGUCUACCAGAACAUAAUAGUAGCCAGUAAUUGCAGACCAUGCCGACUCCAAGGAAAAACAAUGAAAGAGAU